This 465-nucleotide ribosomal RNA is filed under the name uncultured Klebsiella sp. RNAcentral's name for it is "bacterial SSU rRNA". It matches the Rfam family "Bacterial small subunit ribosomal RNA", at positions 338 to 795 of the family's 1533-position model. The record is from RNAcentral. Lineage: Bacteria; Pseudomonadati; Pseudomonadota; Gammaproteobacteria; Enterobacterales; Enterobacteriaceae.
CCUACGGGGGGCAGCAGUGGGGAAUAUUGCACAAUGGGCGCAAGCCUGAUGCAGCCAUGCCGCGUGUGUGAAGAUGGCCUUCGGGUUGUAAAGCACUUUCAGCGGGGAGGAAGGCGUUAAGGUUAAUAACCUUGUCGAUUGACGUUACCCGCAGAAGAAGCACCGGCUAACUCCGUGCCAGCAGCCGCGGUAAUACGGAGGGUGCAAGCGUUAAUCGGAAUUACUGGGCGUAAAGCGCACGCAGGCGGUCUGUCAAGUCGGAUGUGAAAUCCCCGGGCUCAACCGGGGAACUGCAUUCGAAACUGGCAGGCUAGAGUCUUGUAGAGGGGGGUAGAAUUCCAGGUGUAGCGGUGAAAUGCGUAGAGAUCUGGAGGAAUACCGGUGGCGAAGGCGGCCCCCUGGACAAAGACUGACGCUCAGGUGCGAAAGCGUGGGGAGCAAACAGGAUUAGAUACCCGUGUAGUC